UACGUAGGAUGCGAGCGUUAUCCGGAUUUAUUGGGUUUAAAGGGUGCGUAGGCGGGCUUUUAAGUCAGCGGUAAAAAUUCGGGGCUCAACCCCGUCCGGCCGUUGAAACUGGGGGCCUUGAGUGGGCGAGAAGAAGGCGGAAUGCGUGGUGUAGCGGUGAAAUGCAUAGAUACCACGCAGAACCCCGAUUGCGAAGGCAGCCUUCCGGCGCCCUACUGACGCUGAGGCACGAAAGUGCGGGGAUCGAACAGG
This 252-nucleotide ribosomal RNA is filed under the name uncultured bacterium. Its description in RNAcentral is "partial 16S ribosomal RNA". It matches the Rfam family "Bacterial small subunit ribosomal RNA", at positions 524 to 776 of the family's 1533-position model. The record is from RNAcentral.